Non-coding RNA from Misgurnus anguillicaudatus (oriental weatherfish), 359 nucleotides. The record is from RefSeq and is a predicted model, not a curated record. NCBI's taxonomy places the organism in Eukaryota, Metazoa, Chordata, Actinopteri, Cypriniformes, Cobitidae.
UCUGAACGCCACCAGCAUCUCCGUUGUUUAACAGCCUGAAUCCUUGUUUGCUUUGAACUUUAGACUGAAUGCAAUUUGACUCUGUAUUUUGUUUUUACUCAAUUUGGAAAAACUUUUAAUUGCAAACCAAUCUCCUUCUACUUGAACCUUAGUCUUGUGGGAAGAUACUGCGGUUAGUCCUGGUGAAGAAAAAGGUUGAAAUGGAAUUGAGUAUAAAUGGUCCAAACUCCUCGGUCGGUGCUAAAUUGAAUACAAGUACAGCUGAACUGAUGGCUCAUGUUGAAGCUGGCAGUGCAUCAGUUAAUGUCGGCCCAAUUGGUGUGAAGGUGGGGGUCGGAAUCGAUACGGGUGUGGCAAUU